GCGGAAACGAUGGAGCUUGCUCCAGGCGUCGAGCGGCGGACGGGUGAGUAAUGCAUAGGAAUCUGCCCGGUAGUGGGGGAUAACCUGGGGAAACCCAGGCUAAUACCGCAUACGUCCUACGGGAGAAAGCAGGGGAUCUUCGGACCUUGCGCUAUCGGAUGAGCCUAUGUCGGAUUAGCUUGUUGGUGAGGUAAUGGCUCACCAAGGCGACGAUCCGUAGCUGGUCUGAGAGGAUGAUCAGCCACAUCGGGACUGAGACACGGCCCGAACUCCUACGGGAGGCAGCAGUGGGGAAUAUUGGACAAUGGGCGAAAGCCUGAUCCAGCCAUGCCGCGUGUGUGAAGAAGGCUUUCGGGUUGUAAAGCACUUUCAGUGAGGAAGAAGGCCUUGGGGCUAAUACCCCCGAGGAAGGACAUCACUCACAGAAGAAGCACCGGCUAACUCCGUGCCAGCAGCCGCGGUAAUACGGAGGGUGCAAGCGUUAAUCGGAAUUACUGGGCGUAAAGCGCGCGUAGGCGGCGUGAUAAGCCGGUUGUGAAAGCCCCGGGCUCAACCUGGGAACGGCAUCCGGAACUGUCAGGCUAGAGUGCAGGAGAGGAAGGUAGAAUUCCCGGUGUAGCGGUGAAAUGCGUAGAGAUCGGGAGGAAUACCAGUGGCGAAGGCGGCCUUCUGGACUGACACUGACGCUGAGGUGCGAAAGCGUGGGUAGCAAACAGGAUUAGAUACCCUGGUAGUCCACGCCGUAAACGAUGUCGACUAGCCGUUGGGGUCCUUGAGACCUUUGUGGCGCAGUUAACGCGAUAAGUCGACCGCCUGGGGAGUACGGCCGCAAG
Molecule: ribosomal RNA, 833 nt
Filed under: Halomonas ventosae
Lineage: Bacteria; Pseudomonadati; Pseudomonadota; Gammaproteobacteria; Oceanospirillales; Halomonadaceae
Description: bacterial SSU rRNA
Rfam family: Bacterial small subunit ribosomal RNA
Source: RNAcentral